Molecule: ribosomal RNA, 253 nt
Filed under: uncultured bacterium
Lineage: Bacteria
Description: partial 16S ribosomal RNA
Rfam family: Bacterial small subunit ribosomal RNA
Source: RNAcentral
UACGUAGGGUGCGAGCGUUAAUCGGAAUUACUGGGCGUAAAGCGUGCGCAGGCGGCUCGCUAAGACCGAUGUGAAAUCCCCGGGCUUAACCUGGGAACUGCAUUGGUGACUGGCGAGCUAGAGUGUGGCAGAGGGGGGUAGAAUUCCACGUGUAGCAGUGAAAUGCGUAGAGAUGUGGAGGAAUACCGAUGGCGAAGGCAGCCCCCUGGGAUAACACUGACGCUCAUGCACGAAAGCGUGGGGAGCAAACAGG